RNAcentral lists this ribosomal RNA (484 nucleotides) under uncultured bacterium. RNAcentral's name for it is "partial 16S ribosomal RNA". It matches the Rfam family "Bacterial small subunit ribosomal RNA", at positions 29 to 507 of the family's 1533-position model. The record is from RNAcentral.
AUUGAACGCUGGCGGAAGGCCUAACACAUGCAAGUCGAACGGUAGCAGGGGGGAGACUGUGGCGUCGAUCGGCAGAGGGGGGAGGAAUACAUCUGAACGGGCACAGGCGUGGGGGAGGACACUUCGAAAGGAGAACGAAUACUGCAAACGUCCAGAGUGAGAAAGCGGGGGAUCGGAAGAUCUGGGGCUAUUGGAGUGGGCUAUGUCAGAUUAGCUAGUGGGUGGGGUAAAGGCCCACCAAGGCGACGAUCUGUAGCUGGUCUGAGAGGAUGAGCAGCCACACUGGCACUGAGACACGGUCCAGACUCCUACGGGAGGCAGCAGUGGGGAAUUUUGGACAAUGGGGGCAAGCCUGAUCCAGCCAUGCCGCGUGAAUGAAGAAGGCCUUCGGGUUGUAAAGCUCUUUCGGCGGGAACGAAACGACGAGCUCUAACAUCGCUUGCUAAUGACGUUACCUGAAGAAGAAGCACCGGCUAACUCCGUG